UGAUCUUCCAACAUUGUACGACAACCAAGUUCUGUCGCAAAGCUUCACUUUCCAGGAAUCUGAACUACUUACUGCACCAACGGAGGAUUCUAAAAGAGAAGAAACCAAGUCUCUUUCAUGCGAACGAGAAUUUAAACGAGCUUCCCAUUUAAAGACCCACAUGCGAAGUAAUUGUGGAACUAAUAAAUCCCACGUUUGCCCUAUCUGCACCAAAUCAUUCGAAACCGCUCAAGCUUUGACGGUAAGUUGUUUGAAUCCGCUAACGUACUUAAGGAAAGCCUUUUAUUGACACGUCAUUUGA
Long non-coding RNA from Daphnia pulicaria, 301 nucleotides. RefSeq lists it as uncharacterized. The record is from RefSeq and is a predicted model, not a curated record. The transcript is spliced from 3 exons. Lineage: Eukaryota; Metazoa; Arthropoda; Branchiopoda; Diplostraca; Daphniidae.